Molecule: ribosomal RNA, 501 nt
Filed under: uncultured bacterium
Lineage: Bacteria
Description: bacterial SSU rRNA
Rfam family: Bacterial small subunit ribosomal RNA
Source: RNAcentral
GAUGAACGCUGGCGGCGUGCCUAACACAUGCAAGUCGAACGAAGCGCCUGGCCCCGACUUCUUCGGAACGAGGAGCCUUGCGACUGAGUGGCGAACGGGUGAGUAACGCGUGAGUAACCUGCCCUGGAGUGGGGGACAACAGUUGGAAACGACUGCUAAUACCGCAUAAGCCCACAGUGCCGCAUGGCACAGCGGGAAAGGAUUUAUUCGCUUCAGGAUGGACUCGCGUCCAAUUAGCUAGUUGGUGAGGUAACGGCCCACCAAGGCGACGAUUGGUAGCCGGACUGAGAGGUUGAACGGCCACAUUGGGACUGAGACACGGCCCAGACUCCUACGGGAGGCAGCAGUGGGGGAUAUUGCACAAUGGGGAAAACCCUGAUGCAGCGACGCCGCGUGGAGGAAGAAGGUUUUCGGAUUGUAAACUCCUGUCGUUAGGGACGAUAAUGACGGUACCCUAACAAGAAAGCACCGGCUAACUACGUGCCAAGCAGCCGCCGUAAG